UAAAUUCAACGAAAUCAUUACAUCUGUUAAGGAUAUCGAACAAAAGAACAGUUUUUUGAUUAGAUCAAUUAUCAAUUACUUUGUGUGCCUAGUUACGAUCCUAGUUACAAUGUUUAUCUUUUUCCUAUUGGUUUGUAAUCGGAUCUUUUAGCGUCACCACGCACAUAUAAAAGCUAAGUUAGCGUCCCUUUAAGCCGGAGUUUCGCAAGAUUUCGCCUUGAAUAGCAGUACCUUCGUUCUUUCGUUCCAAACCUUUGGCACAAGCGGGACCGAUAUGCUGGUCUUUGUCGUACUCAGCUCAGUGAAUCCUGAUAUUUUACCGUUAUAAACUGAGGAAAUUUACGGUGUAGAAGAAUGGGAGUAUUCAAAUCCAACCCACUCACUACAACUGCUUCUGUCAUUGUUUUAUUACUAUUCUUUGGAAAAGGACAAUGCGAUUCAAUUUGUCCCAAUGGCAUAACGAACAUCACAGCUUCCAGUGGUGAGCUUAAAUAUCCUGAGUCAGGUACUUAUGGUAAGAAUGAGACCAAAUGCUGGAG
Molecule: long non-coding RNA, 539 nt
Filed under: Pocillopora damicornis (cauliflower coral)
Lineage: Eukaryota; Metazoa; Cnidaria; Anthozoa; Scleractinia; Pocilloporidae
Description: uncharacterized LOC113683752, transcript variant X2
Source: RNAcentral